AGGACGAACGCUGGCGGCGUGCUUAACACAUGCAAGUCGAGCGGUAAGGCCUUUCGGGGUACACGAGCGGCGAACGGGUGAGUAACACGUGGGUGAUCUGCCCUGCACUUCGGGAUAAGCCUGGGAAACUGGGUCUAAUACCGGAUAUGACCUCCUAUCGCAUGGUGGGUGGUGGAAAGAUUUAUCGGUGCAGGAUGGGCCCGCGGCCUAUCAGCUUGUUGGUGGGGUAAUGGCCUACCAAGGCGACGACGGGUAGCCGACCUGAGAGGGUGACCGGCCACACUGGGACUGAGACACGGCCCAGACUCCUACGGGAGGCAGCAGUGGGGAAUAUUGCACAAUGGGCGAAAGCCUGAUGCAGCGACGCCGCGUGAGGAUGACGGCCUUCGGGUUGUAAACCUCUUCAGCAGGACGAAGCGCGAGUGACGGUACCUGCAGAAGAAGCACCGGCUAACACGUGACCAGCCAGCCGC
This 473-nucleotide ribosomal RNA is filed under the name uncultured soil bacterium. RNAcentral's name for it is "bacterial SSU rRNA". It matches the Rfam family "Bacterial small subunit ribosomal RNA", at positions 26 to 518 of the family's 1533-position model. The record is from RNAcentral.